AGUGGCGUACGGGUGAGUAAACGGGGAUCAUCUACCUCUUAGUGGGGAAUAACCCUGGGAAACCGGGGCUAAUACCGCAUAAGCCUGAAAAGGGAAAGCAGUAAUGCGCUGAGAGAGGAGUCCGCGGCCGAUUAGCUAGUUGGUAGGGUAAUGGCCUACCAAGGCAAUGAUCGGUAGCCGGCCUGAGAGGGCACACGGCCACACUGGCACUGAAACACGGGCCAGACUCCUACGGGAGGCAGCAGUGGGGAAUCUUGCACAAUGGAGGAAACUCUGAUGCAGCGACGCCGCGUGAGCGAUGAAGCCCUUCGGGGUGUAAAGCUCUUUCGACGGGAACGAUAAUGACGGUACCCGGAGAAGAAGCUGCGGCUAACUACGUGCCAGCAGCCGCGGUAAUACGUAGGCAGCAAGCGUUGUUCGGAAUUACUGGGCGUAAAGAGUGUGUAGGCGGUUCUCUAUGUUCGGCGUGAAAUCUCCCGGCUUAACUGGGAGGGUGCGCCGAA
RNAcentral lists this ribosomal RNA (503 nucleotides) under uncultured bacterium. Its description in RNAcentral is "bacterial SSU rRNA". It matches the Rfam family "Bacterial small subunit ribosomal RNA", at positions 94 to 630 of the family's 1533-position model. The record is from RNAcentral.